Molecule: ribosomal RNA, 338 nt
Filed under: uncultured Bacillota bacterium
Lineage: Bacteria; Bacillati; Bacillota
Description: bacterial SSU rRNA
Rfam family: Bacterial small subunit ribosomal RNA
Source: RNAcentral
GACGAACGCUGGCGGCGUGCUUAACACAUGCAAGUCGAACGGACUAUCUCAUUUCGGUGGGGUGGUUAGUGGCGAACGGGUGAGUAACGCGUAGACAACCUACCUCUUAGAUGGGGACAACAUCGCGAAAGCGGUGCUAAUACCGAAUGAAGUGACUUUCCUGCAUGGGAGAGAUACUAAAGGUGGCCUCUAUUUAUAAGCUACCACUGAGAGAUGGGUCUGCGUCUGAUUAGCUAGUUGGCGGGUAACGGCCACCAAGGCAACGAUCAGUAGCCGGUCUGAGAGGAUGAACGGCCACAUUGGGACUGAGACACGGCCCAAACUCCUACGGGAGGCUG